CCUACGGGCGGCAGCAGUGAGGAAUAUUGGUCAAUGGACGAGAGUCUGAACCAGCCAAGUAGCGUGAAGGAUGACUGCCCUAUGGGUUGUAAACUUCUUUUAUAUGGGAAUAAAACAAGGUAUGCAUACCCUCUUGUAUGUACCAUAUGAAUAAGGAUCGGCUAACUCCGUGCCAGCAGCCGCGGUAAUACGGAGGAUCCGAGCGUUAUCCGGAUUUAUUGGGUUUAAAGGGAGCGUAGGUGGAUUGUUAAGUCAGUUGUGAAAGUUUGCGGCUCAACCGUAAAAUUGCAGUUGAAACUGGCAGUCUUGAGUACAGUAGAGGUGGGCGGAAUUCGUGGUGUAGCGGUGAAAUGCGUAGAUAUCACGAAGAACUCCGAUUGCGAAGGCAGCUUACUGGACUGCAACUGACACUGAUGCUCGAAAGUGUGGGUAUCAAACAGGAUUAGAUACCCUUGUAGUC
RNAcentral lists this ribosomal RNA (460 nucleotides) under uncultured bacterium. RNAcentral describes it as "partial 16S ribosomal RNA". It matches the Rfam family "Bacterial small subunit ribosomal RNA", at positions 338 to 795 of the family's 1533-position model. The record is from RNAcentral.